Molecule: long non-coding RNA, 2011 nt
Organism: Scylla paramamosain (green mud crab)
Lineage: Eukaryota; Metazoa; Arthropoda; Malacostraca; Decapoda; Portunidae
Exons: 5
Source: RefSeq, a predicted model, not a curated record
AGCAUGGACUCACUCAACCUGAGUUGUCAAAUGUCAUUUCAAGGCAUAUGGAAGCAAAAUAUAAAGUGCCAAGUUUAAAAGUAGCCUUCACAUCGUAUGAUAUAAGUCUCAGUUACAUGCUGUUCAUCAUAUGAUGUAUGUCACAGUUUGCGGGUUGAAUAUAUGCUUUUUUUGCUUUGCUGGUUUAUCACAUUGAUUGGUUGAGAUUGGUCUCUUCCAAAAGUGAGGGUUGGUUUCUUCUAUCAUGUGGAUGAGUGGUGACUGGAAGUAAGCUUAGCUCAACUGUGGAUAAGUACAAUUGUGGGGAAUAGUCAGAGCUGCCUGGAUGGUGAGAUAGUCUUGUCAGGAUGUCUUGCAGAUUUGUAUAUUCUCAUAAUAUUCCCACUUGAUGAAUUUUUGGUAAGUGUGGGCACUCCCAGGGCUUGUGGGCAAAAGAGAAACCUCAACUCAGCUCAUGGUAGACCUGGAUGUAGGUAGCUGUGGUAUGGUGUGAAACCUGGUGGUUUUGGUUGUAGGACAUUGAGGUGUCACAGCCUAAUGAACUGAUAACAACCUGUUAUUGCUAAUAUAACCACUGUGUGAAUCCCUGUUACUGUGGUUUGCUGCUAUCACAGUUACCCCAAUAUAUUACUGUGCUGCCUUAUGAGAAAGUUUGGUGCUCUUGUGUAGAACUUUAUCAUGGUCAUCUGUUUGUGGGGAGUUCUUAUGUGAACUGUCAUAAGGUAUACAAAAAUGCUUCAUACUGUAAUCAUCUUGACUAGCUAAAUUCUCACUAUGCUUAUUAUGUUCUAAAACUAUAAUUGUCAUAUAAUUUCAGUGUUAUUGCAUAGGUUAAUUUGAGUGAGUCUCACGGGUGUAUAGUCCAGUUCCCCUGCUGAUGGAAGCUGCACCCCAUCUGAGUAUACAACACUCCACCACAGCCAUUGCCACCACCACCUACUACCUCCACCUCCACUGCCACCACCGUGCCAGCCAGGCCAGAGGCAUGGGAUCCUAAUGUUCAGAGUCUAGAUUCAGAAGCAAUGAAGAUGAACCCAGGAGUGCUCCCUUACAUGAUAUACAAGAUAUCACUUACUCUUCUACUAACUUUUUGAAGGCUGUGAACAGAUGAGUAUCAGCAGAUGGUGGCUGUUGGGGGCUGAGGACAAGGGUAUGUGGGUGAUGUGCCUCCUCAGUCGGUGCUCUGCCCACCCUCUGCUGCAAGGUUAUCCUCCUUUGCUGCGAGAGCCUUCCCCCAUACCUUAUCUACCUCUUCCUUUUAUGGAUAACAGUGGUGGUGGGUGAACUGCUCGACUUCAGGGCAGAGAUGGAAGAGAUGUAGAGAAGGAAUGAAGAUCAAGCCAGUGCUCGUCGCCACAUCACUGACCACAUUCAGGAGUUGGGCCACCUGAGGGAGUGUGCAAAGUUGAUGGCUGACAAGGGAGAAAUGUGGAGGCCUGCAGUGCAUGGCAGGAAGGAAAGUUGUGUAUGAGGUUUUGUAUUAAGCUAUAUUUGGAAGGGAGGGGGAAAUGAUACAAACAACAGCUUUAUCUUUGUAUUUGUUAUUUCUUGCAAGGAGACAUGUUGAAUAUGUUAUUUAUUUAUUUAAUACCAUUUUUUCACUUAGGGUUGGCAGAUCCAUACAAGUAUUACUUUGAUGCUGUGCUCCCUCCAGAAUUGUUCAUGAAUGUAGUGGUCUUGGCAGAAGAGCCUCCACCUCUGCUCAUCCAAACAUUUCCUCCUUAUUCGCUGAAAUUCUUCCCUACUACUUGCACCUCUUUCAUACAUAUACUCCUUCACAUUAUUUCUCUACCUUCCAAAUGGCCAUCCUUUCCUACUAGGAUCAUUGAUGUAUAGUUGGGAAGAGGAUGCAUGAUAUGCCAUUUGGGGGUAUCAGCAGGGUUAUGUACGCAUGAAGCAUUGAUUCCCACCACAUUAUGUAGAAUGUAGAAUAUUUUUUUCUUUCAUACAUUCUAGUUAUUCUUGUAUGAUAUGUGCUUAGGAAGCAACACUUUGAUAGAUAAUUCAUAGG